Prinia subflava (tawny-flanked prinia) is the source of this 3690-nucleotide long non-coding RNA. RefSeq lists it as uncharacterized. The transcript has 3 exons. Lineage: Eukaryota; Metazoa; Chordata; Aves; Passeriformes; Cisticolidae. The record is from RefSeq and is a predicted model, not a curated record.
CUGCAGCAGGGAGAGUCCAUCCAGAGGGCAGCUGUGACACCAGCCCUGGGAGAGAUGGCUGAGGGGGCUGUGCUUAGCUGAGCCCCACGGUGGUUCAGCAGGGCUGGAGCUGAUCCCUGCUGCCCCAGGUGCUGUUCUGGGGCUGUUGCUGACCUUCCCCUUCGCAGGGAGUGCCCAUCCAGCCACAGUGCCAGGGCUCCCUCUCUGCUCCUGGCUGUGCAGCCAGGGCAGGGGCACUGCAGGGAUUCUCCUCUGGCUGCCCUGGCUGCUCACAGCAGCCUUUAACUGCAGUGUCUCUGCCAGCCCUAAGGGCUGCCUGAAAGCAAAGCCUUGGGACAGAGCAGGAGGCACGGAGUGCAGGAGCACACGGUGCCAGCGCUCAGUGUGCCAGUCGGGGAGGGCAGCUGCUGCCCCUGUUUGGGGAAAGAUGGUUCUAGAAACCUGGGCCACCUUCCCUCAGGCCUUCCUGCUGCACAGGUGCGCCAGUAGCUGAAGGAACAUUUUUCUCUCACAAGGAUGUUCUGCACUGGGCAGAAAUGAGUUACCUCUUUGGAGCGAUACCAGUCUGGGCAGUGCCAGGUCUUUAGUGUCAUGGCAAAGGGUCUUAGGAGCAAGGCUUGGUGCUGCUGAGCGUGUGCUUCUCCUGGACCAGGCUGCUCCAAUUUCAGUAACACAGUGGGUAGAGUUUGCAAGAAUUAAAACCAGCUUGUACAGAAAGUGAAAGGACCAAGCUUUCAUAAACCCACCAUCCCCAGCUUCUGCAGGAAAGGCUUUGAGGUUAGUGUGCUGCUCCUUGGACCAUGAAGUUGCUGGUACAUGCAAGCCUUGCUGGGAAAUGUUGAGGGUUUUAUUUGCUCUGGAUCCCCCCGUGGAGGAGGGGAGCCGGCUCCCUGCCCUGGGAGUGUGGGGCUGUGCCGGGGCUGCUCCAGCCCUUCUGCUUGGGUGUUGGGAGCAGCUCCAGGAGACCCAGGAGGAGCUGUGGGAAUGGUGCUUGCCUUCUUUUCCGAGGGGGCAGCCAGCCUGCGUGCAGGGACUCUGUAUCCAUCCUUUUUUCUGCCUGGUAACUCGAUCCCAGGUUAUGUCCUUAAUGUCCUUUUGUUUGUGCUUGUUAGCCCUCAGCAGCCUUGCUACUCUAACUCCUGUUAACCACUCCAGUUAACCACUCCUGUGGUUAACUCUGAAGUUGGGUUUGUGCAGCACAGCAGGCUGUGCAGGAGCUGGUUAUCCUGCACAUGACACCAGCACUAUCACAGAUCUGCCUGGCUGGUGCACACAGAGUGUUCCCCUCUCUGCAGACAGCCCAUGGGGUAUAUUUAGGGUCAUGACUAUAUUUAGUACAUGGUUCUGAAACAUCUGACAGCCAGCAGGUCUGGGCUGUGCAUGCUUUGGUGUUUGAGUCCCAGCAGUGAGCUGAACCUUCUCCUGUGUCGUCAGUGUUUGGGCUAUGCAACCAGCAAAGAAUUGGUUCUGCUUGAAUUUGUGCCAUCAAUCACUCUGCUGCUGAUUUUCAGCUUCUCUGUGACAAUAGGAACUCUGAAAGAGAAGGAGUAAAAUCCCUUUCCUUUGCCAAAAGUAGUACAACAAUGUGGAAGAAGUAAGUGGACCAAGUGUGCUGUGAGGGGCGUUCUGGCCUGAGGCUCCUGGGGUCAACAGCUGUCCCAGGGUAUCUCAGAAUGUGUCACUGUCAGCGUGAUGGAGGAGAAUUCUGACAGGGACCAGUCCCACCAGAAAGAGAACUCAGUUUCUCUACUGUAAAUCACGUUUGGCAUAAGUUUCAUCUUUUGUCAUCAUAGAUCUUCACACCUCCCUUCCUACACGCUCGUUCCCCUGCCUGCUGGUUCAGACCUUCCUCUUGUGGUUGUGUAUUGUUAUGUGGAAUGGGUGGCUGCAGUCACUCCCCAAACACCUGCUGAGCUCUGGAAAAUUUAUCACACAUCAGUCAGCAUCACAUGCCAGGACUAGACUACACUGAGACAAAAUCUUAAUUUUUAAUUUUUAUUUUUUAUUGGUUAGUUGAGGUUUCUUUCCCCAGGUGGAUAGCUGAAAAUAGCCUUGUUCAAAACAGACCUCCCACAGAAGUCUGUAUGAGUCUGGCAGACACAAGAGCUUGAAAAGUGCUUCAUGAGUUCAUUUUGACUUCACAAUUUGUAUCAGCAUUUGAAAAAAAAAAAUAACACUGCUUCUUCUUUACUGAAGAGCUUUCAGCUUUGUGCUUGACAAGUGCAUUUAUCUGAUCAUGUACAAGAAGACUUAUUUUCAGGUGAUUUUCUUCUGAUGUCAAGCCAUAAAGCAGCCUGUAGUGGGAUCCCAGAGGACCUUACCCAGCACUGGCUGCUCGCUGCAGCAAACAGUCAUUUCUUGCAAAUAAUUAAACCCCUGUGGAGCAUCAAUAGCUGGGUUGCUGAUAUUGCAUUUAGAUAAGAAGGAGGAACUGUAGGUGAUGCAGGAGAGUUACUUUGAAGUAUUUGUUCUCUCUCUAAAGCACUUUCUAACUGAAAGCAGAUGUCUAUCAAAUCUUCCUCUUGCCAAUUAAAUUUAGGUCUGGAAUUGCAGCUUCUGUGGAGUUUCAGGAGCUCACAAGCACAUCAGCCUGUUGCUCCAGUUGUGCUGUGGACCGGUGCAGACUCAGGCUGUGAUCAGACAGGUCCCACAGCACCCAGACCUGGCGUGUCCUGCCCACUCCUGGCUGCCCUGAGCUGCAGGUAAGGGCAAGGACUGGAAUCAAACCUUGCUUGGCAGGUGCAGCCUGUCCCUGUCCCUGCUCAGGGCCCAUGGCCAUACUUUGGGAUGGGUUUCCCUGGGCAUUUAUUCACCCUUGCCCCUCACAUUGGGAGUUUGGAGCUCACUGACUGCAUCUGCAGCCUCCUGCCAGGGUGUGCACCCUGCCUCCCCUAUCAAACUGCUCUUGUGGAGGAGCUGAACACUCACAGCUUCUGCUGCAGCUAAUGGGAGCUGCAGUAAAAGCUCAACAAUCAUGAAAAUCCAGCCUUCAACUGCACUCUUGGGAAUGGAGGUGGCUUAUCCUGUCAUGAGCCCUUAAAAGCCUUGGUAGUGCAGUGGGAGUGGUUUGUAACAGCAGGAAUUCAUUUGUUAAUAAAUCUCCCCUUGCUUGCCCUGACACUAAUUCAGGGGGCUUCAGCUGCAAGGUGGUUGGUGCUCACAGCAGAGAAAAGCAGCUCAGGGUUCCAGGGAUCUUGGUGGGGUCACAGUUCUGAGAAAAGUGUCCUGGCUCAGUUCAUGGUACAGAUGGGGUCACACAUAGCUUGCUCAGCCUCUGGUUCCCUUCUGGAGUACAAGCUGUACAUAAAGAAAAGCAACUGUGAUAAUUUUAGGAGAGCAAGUUUAAAAAAAAAUACAUGGGAAAGAGGAAUUGACUAUAAAAAACACUAACAGGAGAUAAUCAUGCAGUGGCAGGGAGAAAAAAGAUGUUUUAAUAGAUUUCUCUGAUUAUACUGACUCAAUAGAACCCUCUACUUUCUCUAAUGAGAAGAGGUGAACUCUCCUGACUUCAGCACUGACCUACCCAUGACAUCUUUUCUUGAGGCUUGAGCCAUGCUGGUGUUCCUGGAAGAGGUGGGAGGGUUCAGUUAUUUAUGGCUAAGUCUUUUGAAAGAAGUUAAAUGGUACUGCAUCAGAAUAACUCAUUGCAUCUCACCUGGUAUUUAUCCUGUCCUGAAAAUAAAAAGUUAA